RNAcentral lists this long non-coding RNA (678 nucleotides) under Pan troglodytes (chimpanzee). RNAcentral describes it as "long non-coding RNA NONPTRT000040". The record is from RNAcentral. Lineage: Eukaryota; Metazoa; Chordata; Mammalia; Primates; Hominidae.
GCACAAUCAACCCAGCUGAUGACCUCUAUCUAACCCGCACAAUCAACCCGGCUGAUGACCUCUAUCUAACCCACACAAUCAACCCAGCUGAUGACCUCUAUCUAACCCACAGAAUCAACCCGGCUGAUGACCUCUAUCUAACCCACACAAUCAACCCGGCUGAUGACCUCUAUCUAACCCACACAAUCAACCCUGCUGAUGACCUCUAUCUAACCCACACAAUCAACCCGGCUGAUGAUCUCUAUCUAACCCACACAAUCAACCCGGCUGAUGAUCUCUAUCUAACCCACACAAUCAACCCGGCUGAUGACCUCUAUCUAACCCACACAAUCAACCCGGCUGAUGAUCUCUAUCUAACCCACACAAUCAACCCGGCUGAUGAUCUCUAUCUAACCCGCACAAUCAACCCGGCUGAUGAUCUCUAUCUAACCCGCACAAUCAACCCGGCUGAUGAUCUCUAUCUAACCCGCACAAUCAACCAAGCUGAUGACCUCUAUCUAACCCGCACAAUCAACCCAGCUGAUGAUCUCUAUCUAACCCACACAAUCCACCAGGCUGAUGAUCUCUAUCUAACCCACACAAUCAACCUGGCUGAUGACCUCUAUCUAACCUGCACAAUCAACCCAGCUUUUCACAGUGGACUGGCGAAGGGUGGAAAAGGGCAGGCGUCACCUCCAG